Molecule: ribosomal RNA, 464 nt
Filed under: Streptococcus parasanguinis
Lineage: Bacteria; Bacillati; Bacillota; Bacilli; Lactobacillales; Streptococcaceae
Description: bacterial SSU rRNA
Rfam family: Bacterial small subunit ribosomal RNA
Source: RNAcentral
GAUGAACGCUGGCGGCGUGCCUAAUACAUGCAAGUAGAACGCUGAAGCUUGGUGCUUGCACCGAGCGGAUGAGUCGCGAACGGGUGAGUAACGCGUAGGUAACCUGCCUCUUAGCGGGGGAUAACUAUUGGAAACGAUAGCUAAUACCGCAUAAAAGACGAUAUCGCAUGAUAUUGAUUUGAAAGGUGCAAAUGCAUCACUAAGAGAUGGACCUGCGUUGUAUUAGCUAGUUGGUGAGGUAACGGCUCACCAAGGCAACGAUCCAUAGCCGACCUGAGAGGGUGAUCGGCCACACUGGGACUGAGACACGGCCCAGACUCCUACGGGAGGCAGCAGUAGGGAAUCUUCGGCAAUGGGGGCAACCCUGACCGAGCAACGCCGCGUGAGUGAAGAAGGUUUUCGGAUCGUAAAGCUCUGUUGUAAGAGAAGAACGAGUGUGAGAGUGGAAAGUUCACACUGUGACG